CCCACGGACUGACGUCACCAAUUAGGAAGGCGAGACAGCAGCAGUGGGCAUUGUGGGUAAUCCUGAUGGCCACCGAGUCUCAUUCUGAAUCAGGAGGUGCCUCUCCUGCUGGCAGCCCAGAGGCCUGGCCCAGCAGGAGAUCCCUAAACCCUCCUCAGCACUGCAUGACAGACUGCUGCUCCUGACGAAUGGACACCAUAAGAGGAUUGUUCCAUUCACACUGGGUGUUGUUGACGUAUCUUGGCACCCAGCUGAGCCUGAGGAUUUGACGUGUGCAAAGAAGGCCGACUACAUAAAGAAACAUGUUUGGGAAAGGCAACCAGGUGCUCUGAGCUUCGACAAGAGGGACACAGUCCAUCCUGAGAGACAGAGAGAAGCACUGACUUUUGAAUUCACCAACACCUCCAGGAUAUUAAAGGAGCAGGUAUGGAGCCCAUUGCUCAGACAGUGGAGGCAGCAGACGCUUACUUACAAAGACGUGGCUGGCGGUUUGUGGGGAAGCGGGGAGCCUCGUCACAGUUUGUGGGGAGCACCAUCAUGAUCUUGUCCACUUAUGCGGUCGCUACCCUGACCAUGAACACUGGAAAGAAAAUCCAGGAACGGAGAUUAAGAUCAAACACCAACUAGGAACAAUGUCCUCAUCAAAGAUCUGGACUCAGCCUCCUCUCUCUAACAAUGCUACAAAUGACAGAGAGAGUUGAACUGAACCGAGAUGCUUCUCCUCAAAUUAAAUGGGUCACUUCAACUGAAUUCAUCUCAGCUUUAUGCUGUGAAGAUGUGGAAACAAUCAAAAAUCAACUUAAGUCAGUCAGGGCUCCUACAGAUAUUAAGUUUUACCAAGAAGACAUGGUAUGGUUUCAAAGUAAGUGUUUCACAAUGGUCCUGGCCAUAGAUGAAUAAUAACAUAUGGGCACUAAUACUUUGAAUGCAGUGCUGCCAUGUGACCACAGGGUGGAGAACUUGGACUACUUCACUACUUCUAUGAUUUCCAACAACAACAAAGCACAAGCUCACUGGAUAUUGGAUGUGUUUGUCAUGUCAACAUAUAGCGACCCAGGACAGUGACAUUUUUAAACACAAAUCUUUCAAUGCAUGAAACAGAAUGGAAAUGCUCAAUGGCUAAACAACUAGAAUCUUAGAUGGGUUUUUUCUGUGUAUUUGAUGGUUUUUUUUUAAUCUUUGUCAUAAAGUUGCCUUGUUUUAAAUGCCUGUGUGACUGUAUGACAGUGAGUUAGUUGUUUAUUUUUUACACAUAAUGUCACAUUGCUCAUGUUGAUUAUAUGUUUUAUGUAACUACAUUGUGAGGUUGUGGGCCCACACUGAUGCUUGUUCAGUGUAAGCUGAUUAUACAGAAAAUGACUUUCAAAAUAAUCCAUGUUGCUGUCUUUGAAUAAAUGGUGAAAUAUU
Long non-coding RNA from Thunnus maccoyii (southern bluefin tuna), 1407 nucleotides. RefSeq lists it as uncharacterized. The record is from RefSeq and is a predicted model, not a curated record. The transcript is spliced from 2 exons. NCBI's taxonomy places the organism in Eukaryota, Metazoa, Chordata, Actinopteri, Scombriformes, Scombridae.